Molecule: ribosomal RNA, 347 nt
Filed under: uncultured bacterium
Lineage: Bacteria
Description: partial 16S ribosomal RNA
Rfam family: Bacterial small subunit ribosomal RNA
Source: RNAcentral
CCUACGGGGGGCUGCAGUGGGGAAUAUUGGGCAAUGGGCGCAAGCCUGACCCAGCAACGCCGCGUGAAGGAAGAAGGCUCUCGGGUUGUAAACUUCUUUUCUCAGGGACGAAGUAAGUGACGGUACCUGAGGAAUAAGCCACGGCUAACUAUGUGCCAGCAGCCGCGGUAAUACGGAGGUGGCAAGCGUUAUCCGGAUUUACUGGGUGUAAAGGGCGUGUAGGCGGGAAAGCAAGUCAGAUGGUUAAACCAUGGGCUUAACCUGUGGCCUGGAUUUAAAACUGUCUGUCUUGAGUACUGGAGAGGCAGACGGAAUUCCUCGUGUAGCGGUGAAAUGCGUAGAUAUGA